AGCUCUGCGGAGUGGCGGUGUCAUAGCCAAUGAGGUUUAUCUUAGGCACGAUUAUUGUUAAUUGACAACUUUGCCCUAUAAAUCCUCUUGAGGUUGGCUUUGGCAGAAAAUUUAGACACUCCAGUACUGGA
RNAcentral lists this small nuclear RNA (131 nucleotides) under Chinchilla lanigera (long-tailed chinchilla). RNAcentral's name for it is "U4 spliceosomal RNA (ENSCLAG00000021009.1)". It matches the Rfam family "U4 spliceosomal RNA". From Rfam's summary of the family: U4 small nuclear RNA (U4 snRNA) is a component of the major U2-dependent spliceosome. The structure of U4 snRNA from yeast and human has been reported. U4 snRNA presents a k-turn RNA motif in the 5p-SL related to recognition of Snu13 protein. Lineage: Eukaryota; Metazoa; Chordata; Mammalia; Rodentia; Chinchillidae. The record is from Rfam by way of RNAcentral.